Non-coding RNA from Dermacentor albipictus, 657 nucleotides. The record is from RefSeq and is a predicted model, not a curated record. Lineage: Eukaryota; Metazoa; Arthropoda; Arachnida; Ixodida; Ixodidae.
AAAUGAAGAAAGAUUCACAGUGGUUCGAGCAGAUGGUGGGUAUACAGCUGUUUCGUGAUUGGUGCUGACUUGAUGGCAGGAGUACAAGGUGACGUGUGAUAAAACUUGAACAAUAGGCACAGACGUGCUAUUCUGCGGCGUGCUGAAAGACUUCCAAGGUUUGCACGAGAUUUUAGUUCGGUGAGACUAGAAUGAUAUCAACCCAUGCAGCACCUGUACUGUUCAGGUAAAGGCACUUCAAGAAGAAAAUCGGGAAUUAAAAGAUGAAGUGGAACAUAUGAAGCGGAUGGCAGAAAAACACGAUUACAUUUAUGGUGGACAUUGGGGCCGGUGUGAGUGUUGAACAAGGCACCCUAGAGAAGCUAUGCUGAGCAUGCGAAAGUGGCCUUGGCAAAUUUGCCAGGGCUCUUUUGUGGAAUGUAUUCACCCCUGAGGAGCUACGGGACGAACCGCUCCUGGGUGAGAAGAGCAACUUGCACUUAAACCAGCCAUUCAAGGAGGCCUUGGACCCUAUUCGUAUCCGAGCUGUGAUUGACUACACAUGCUCCAAGUUUCCCUCUGCCAGCCUCUCCUACAUAAAGGACAUCAUCUCCUCAGUACUGGCAAGAGAAAUGAAAGAGUCUGAAGCUCAAUAAAUUUGUGGGCUAUUGUAUGAAA